AUAUCUAUUGUCUUAUUACAAGACAAUUAGCAGCGGAGAAUAUCCCGGGCUACCGGGCUGAUGGGGUCGGGCCACUUGGGGUGAAGGGUGGGAGCUAGGGGUGAGGGUGUAGGGUGCCGGCGGUGCCGGGAGCGGCGGCCGCGCACAGGGUGGUGGUGGUAGAGGGUGCCCGCGGUUCAAGGGACGACGUCCGCGCGCGCGGUGGCGGUGGGGGAGGGUGUCCUCGUUACCAAGGACGGCGGCCGCGUGCGCGGUGGCGGUGGCGGUGGUGGAGGGCGUCCGCGGUACCAGGGACGGCGGCCGCGCCGCGGUGGCAGUGGUGGAGGGUGUCGGCAGCGCCUGGGGCGGCGGCCACGCGCGGGGCGGUAGAGGUGGAGGGUGUCGGAGGUACCGGGGCAGCAGCCCCGCGCGGGGCGGUGUUGGUGGCGGCAACCUGCGGCAGCGGCACGGGGUCACGGAGGCUCUGGAGCAGGCUGUACUGGCAACGUAGGGACUUGACGGUUCGCGGCGGGUGGCGGGCCGAAGAAGGGGACUGGUAGCGGCCGGAGGACGGGGCCCGUUUGGGGAAGAGAAGGAAGGCCCGCGUUGGCGCUAGAGGAAGAGUCAAGUUUUGCUCGAGAUCGGCUACAGGUUCAGCUAAGGGUAAGCACCCUGUUCAGGCUGAUGGACACCAUGUGCUGGAUCUCUAACUGGCCUCGCUCGUUAAGGAGUUCAGGCCGGUCACCGACGUCGAGUGGUAGUUGAGGCGGCCGGUGAGCGACAUCCACAAGCAGUUGCCGGUUAGGAAGCCUUAACUCCGAAGCGGUUCCUUGUUCUGACCAUUGAUCGCGUUUCCUCUGAUACAGCUCUCCACCGUGACGAUCUGAACGACUACACAUCAAUACCGUAUUUUUCCUACUUUUUUUACCACAGAACAUACUAAGGUAUUCUACAUGCAUCGUUUAGAAGGGUACACCUAGUCAUGUUGAAUACAUGCCGGAACUCAAGUGUUUAGAAUAUCAUUAGAAACAUCAUGAGAAGCAUUGUGAAACAUUUCGUUCUCAUCGGGAAAAAACACUCGUUGUUAAGUUUCCUUAGACAACAUAGUCAAGAAUACUAUCUAUCUUCUUUCAAGUG
RNAcentral lists this ribosomal RNA (1116 nucleotides) under Triticum aestivum (bread wheat). Its description in RNAcentral is "partial small subunit ribosomal RNA". The record is from RNAcentral. Lineage: Eukaryota; Viridiplantae; Streptophyta; Magnoliopsida; Poales; Poaceae.